GCAAGUCGAACGGUAACGGAUGUGCUUGCACAUCGCUGACGAGUGGCGGACGGGUGAGUAAUGCUUGGGAACUUGCCUUUGCGAGGGGGAUAACAGUUGGAAACGACUGCUAAUACCGCAUAAUGUCUUCGGACCAAACGGGGCUUCGGCUCCGGCGCAAAGAGAGGCCCAAGUGAGAUUAGCUUGAUGGUGGGGUAAUGGCCCACCAUGGCUGUGAUCGGUAGCCGGCCUGAGAGGGUGUACGGCCACACUGGGACUGAGACACUGCCCAGACUCCUACGGGAGGCUGCAGUCGCGAAUCUUCCACAAUGGACGCAAGUCUGAUGGAGCCACGCCGCGUGUAGGAGGAAGGCCCUUGGGUUGUAAACUACUGUUGAGAAGGGGGAACCGCCGUAGGUUAAUGGCCUGCGGUCUGACUGCCUUCUUGAGGAAGCUCCGGCUAAACACGUGCCAGCAGCCGCGGUAAUGCGUGUAGAGCAAGCGUUGUUCGGAAUUACUGGGCUUAAAGGGUGCGUAGGCGGCCCGCUAAGUCAGCUGUGAAAUCCCACGGCCCAACCGUGGACUUGCAGUUGAUACUGGUGGGCUUGAGUGUGCUAGGGGUAAGCGGAACGAGUGGUGUAGCGGUGAAAUGCGUAGAUAUCACUCGGAAGGCCAGAGCCGAAGGGGGCUUACUGGGGCACAACUGACGCUGAGGCACGAAAGCGUGGGGAGCAAACA
Molecule: ribosomal RNA, 717 nt
Filed under: uncultured bacterium
Lineage: Bacteria
Description: bacterial SSU rRNA
Rfam family: Bacterial small subunit ribosomal RNA
Source: RNAcentral